AAUACAAUAGGGAAUAAGUAUUUUAAUACAGCACCUUUUUUUGGUUUUUGAAGUUUAUGAACCCAUUUGUUAUAAAAAUUGACCUAAUAACAGCUUCUACUCUGUGAUGACACUCUAUUAAAAUCAGCUCAUGGUGGAAUUAUAAGCCAACUGUUAUAUAAGGUUUAUAGAAAGUUUAACCUUGUUGAAGGACAGUGUUGAGCAAGAACUCCCUUCCUCUCCAAAACAACCUAUUUGUUUUGAUAGACAAUCGACAUUAAAAAAAAGUUUUGGGUGGAAAAGCUUUCUUGGAACAUCUGCAAGAACCUGAGCCUUUACCUGGACAAGUUUGUUCAACGUUUACUUUAUGUUUACAUUAUCGAAACCAACGUUUUCGUUCUAAACCUGUUGCAUGUGCCUGUGAACCAGAUUUUCAUGAUGGCUUUUUACUUGAAGUCCACAGAGAAAGCUUGGGUGAUGGAACUAGAAUGGCUGAUUCAACAACAAUGUUAUCAAUAAGUGAUCCAAUUCAUAUGGUGCUAAUCAAAACAGACAUAUUUGGUGAGACGAC
This 550-nucleotide small RNA is filed under the name Pan troglodytes (chimpanzee). RNAcentral describes it as "processed transcript". The record is from RNAcentral. Lineage: Eukaryota; Metazoa; Chordata; Mammalia; Primates; Hominidae.